UACGAAGGGGGCAAGCGUUGUUCGGAAUUACUGGGCGUAAAGCGCGCGUAGGUGGUUCGUUAAGUUGGAUGUGAAAGCCCCGGGCUCAACCUGGGAACUGCAUUCAAAACUGACGAGCUAGAGUAUGGUAGAGGGUGGUGGAAUUUCCUGUGUAGCGGUGAAAUGCGUAGAUAUAGGAAGGAACACCAGUGGCGAAGGCGACCACCUGGACUGAUACUGACACUGAGGUGCGAAAGCGUGGGGAGCAAACAGG
Molecule: ribosomal RNA, 253 nt
Filed under: uncultured bacterium
Lineage: Bacteria
Description: partial 16S ribosomal RNA
Rfam family: Bacterial small subunit ribosomal RNA
Source: RNAcentral